Molecule: ribosomal RNA, 250 nt
Filed under: Enterobacter hormaechei
Lineage: Bacteria; Pseudomonadati; Pseudomonadota; Gammaproteobacteria; Enterobacterales; Enterobacteriaceae
Description: partial 16S ribosomal RNA
Rfam family: Bacterial small subunit ribosomal RNA
Source: RNAcentral
AAGUCGGAAUCGCUAGUAAUCGUGGAUCAGAAUGCCACGGUGAAUACGUUCCCGGGCCUUGUAGAUCAGAAUGCCACGGUGAAUACGUUCCCGGGCCUUGUACACACCGCCCGUCACACCAUGGGAGUGGGUUGCAAAAGAAGUAGGUAGCUUAACCUUCGGGAGGGCGCUUACCACUUUGUGAUUCAUGACUGGGGUGAAGUCGUAACAAGGUAACCGUAGGGGAACCUGCGGUUGGAUCACCUCCUUA